This 309-nucleotide ribosomal RNA is filed under the name Physconelloides eurysema. Its description in RNAcentral is "partial 12S ribosomal RNA". Lineage: Eukaryota; Metazoa; Arthropoda; Insecta; Psocodea; Philopteridae. The record is from RNAcentral.
GUAAGUGGAUUAGAUAAACAAAAACAAAAAACAUGGCGGUUUUCUAUCAUAUUAGAGAGACAUGUGUUGAAAACGAAUUUGCACGAAUAAUUGUUCUUUCUUUAGAAAUCAUUUUACAUACCGCUGUCUGAAAGAUUCUUUUAAAAAAGAUAUCUCUUAUCAUGAAAUAAGGCAAGUAAAGGUGUAGACAAUGGGAAAGAAAACAUGUGUUUCAGUUUGAAAAAUGGAAAGAGGGAACUCUUUAAAAAGAAUUUAACAGUAAAAUUGGUUGAUUAAACUAAUUUGAAUUGGAAAUGGAAAAUGUACACA